Molecule: transfer RNA, 76 nt
Filed under: Patescibacteria group bacterium
Lineage: Bacteria
Description: tRNA-Ile
Rfam family: tRNA
About the family: Transfer RNA (tRNA) molecules are approximately 80 nucleotides in length. Their secondary structure includes four short double-helical elements and three loops (D, anti-codon, and T loops). Further hydrogen bonds mediate the characteristic L-shaped molecular structure. tRNAs have two regions of fundamental functional importance: the anti-codon, which is responsible for specific mRNA codon recognition, and the 3' end, to which the tRNAs corresponding amino acid is attached (by aminoacyl-tRNA synthetases). tRNAs cope with the degeneracy of the genetic code in two manners: having more than one tRNA (with a specific anti-codon) for a particular amino acid; and 'wobble' base-pairing, i.e. permitting non-standard base-pairing at the 3rd anti-codon position.
Source: RNAcentral
GGGCGUAUAGCUCAGUGGUUAGAGCACCACUCUUAUAAAGUGGGGGUCGAUGGUUCAAAUCCAUCUACGCCCACCA